UACGGGAGGCAGCAGUGGGGAAUAUUGCACAAUGGGCGAAAGCCUGAUGCAGCUAUGCCGCGUGUAUGAAGAAGGCCUUAGGGUUGUAAAGUACUUUCAUCGGGGAGGAAAACAAAACUAAUAAUUUUAUUUCUUGACGUUACCCGAAAAAGAAGCACCGGCUAACUCCGUGCCAGCAGCCGCGGUAAUACGGAGGGUGCUAGCGUUAAUCAGAAUUACUGGGCGUAAAGAGCACGUAGGUGGUUUUUUUAAGUCAGAUGUGAAAUCCCUGGGCUUAACCUAGGAACUGCAUUUUGAAAACUGAAAAUACUAGAGUAUCGUAGAGGGAGGUAGAAUUCUAGGUGUAGCGGUGAAAUGCGUAGAUAUCUGGAGGAAUACCUGUGGCGAAAAGCGGCCUCCUAAACGAAUACUGACACUGAGGUGCGAAAAGCGUGGGGAGCAAAACAGGGAUUAGAUACC
Molecule: ribosomal RNA, 459 nt
Filed under: uncultured bacterium
Lineage: Bacteria
Description: bacterial SSU rRNA
Rfam family: Bacterial small subunit ribosomal RNA
Source: RNAcentral